GGCGGAUGUAGCCAAGUGGUCA
This 22-nucleotide transfer RNA is filed under the name Salvia striata. Its description in RNAcentral is "partial tRNA-His". The record is from RNAcentral. Lineage: Eukaryota; Viridiplantae; Streptophyta; Magnoliopsida; Lamiales; Lamiaceae.